GACGAACGCUGGCGGCGUGCCUAAUACAUGCAAGUAGAACGCUGAAGGAGGAGCUUGCUUCUCUGGAUGAGUUGCGAACGGGUGAGUAACGCGUAGGUAACCUGCCUGGUAGCGGGGGAUAACUAUUGGAAACGAUAGCUAAUACCGCAUAAGAGUAGAUGUUGCAUGACAUUUGCUUAAAAGGUGCAAUUGCAUCACUACCAGAUGGACCUGCGUUGUAUUAGCUAGUUGGUGGGGUAACGGCUCACCAAGGCGACGAUACAUAGCCGACCUGAGAGGGGGAUCGGCCACACUGGGACUGCGACACGGCCCAGACUCCUACGGGAGGCAGCAGUAGGGAAUCUUCGGCAAUGGACGGAAGUCUGACCGAGCAACGCCGCGUGAGUGAAGAAGGUUUUCGGAUCGUAAAGCUCUGUUGUAAGAGAAGAACGAGUAUGAGAGUGGAAAGUUCACACUGUGACGGUAUCUUACCAGAAAGGGACGGCUAACUACGUG
Molecule: ribosomal RNA, 495 nt
Filed under: uncultured bacterium
Lineage: Bacteria
Description: partial 16S ribosomal RNA
Rfam family: Bacterial small subunit ribosomal RNA
Source: RNAcentral